UACCUGGUUGAUCCUGCCAGUGAUCAUAUGCUUGUCUCAAAGCUUAAGCCAUGCAAGUCUAAGUUCAGGCUUGUUCCUUUCGGGGAGCGAGCCGAAACUGCGAACGGCUCAUUAGUCAGAUAAGGUUCCUUGGCGAAAAGCGGGUCGGUUUAAUGGAUAACUGUGGUAAUUCUAGAGCUAAUACAUGCAACGCACCGUGGUCCCCCUCUUUUUCUCCAAGCUAAAGGUUUUUGAAGAAGGGGAAACGGCAUUUAUUCUCUGGACUAGAUCGCCCUAGCCUGCGAAGCUACCGUCAAAAGUAGCGACGGGGCGAAGCGACAAGUGUUGAAAUCCGAAUAACUGUGCCGAUCGCGGGGUCUUUCCGGGCCCCCGACGACUUUGCCAUGAAGUGUCUGUCCCAUCAAUUGGCGAUGGUCGGCGACCUGCCUACCACGGUGUUGACGGGUAACGGGGAAUCAGGGUUCGAUUCCGGAGAGGGAGCCUGCGAAACGGCUACCACCUCCAAGGAGGGCAGCAGGCGCGCAACUUACCCAAUCCCGACACGGGGAGGUAGUGACGAAAAAUAACGUGGCGGGGCCCUUUCGUGGUCGCCGCGGGCGGAAUGAGCGCAAUUUAAAAGAGUGUGCGAGGAGCUAUUGGAGGGCAAGCCUGGUGCCAGCAGCCGCGGUAAUUCCAGCUCCAAUAGCCUAUAUCGGAGUUGCUGCGGUUAAAAAGCUCGUCGUUGGAUCUCGGAGGCGGCACGGUCGGGCGCGAUACGCUGCGGGUCCGACCGGCGAUUUCUCGGCCGUCCCUAACCGGCGCGCGGGGCGAGGUGGACCUCGCGGUCCUGCCUCGUUUUUCUCCUUCGCGGGAGAGAACCCGCCGCAUUUUUUGUCUACCUUGAAAAAAUUAGAGUGCUAAAGGCAGGCUAAAACCCCGAGCCUGAAUAUUUCGUGCAUGGAAUAAGCGGGGAUGCUCUUUUUCCGGAGGGUGGUCCGGCCGACUUGGCGACGUCGCUUUCGCUGUCGGCUUUGCCGGAGAGCUAGGAUUCGAGAGGAACGGUGGGGGGCGAGCGUACCGGGCGGGGAGAGGUGAAAUUUUGUGAUCCGCUCGGGACGACUCGAAGCGAAAGCGCUGGCCCCGGACGUCUUCCUUAAUCCAGAACGAAGGUGGGUGGAGCAAAGACGAUCAGAUACCGUCGUAGUACCGACGGUAAACGCUGCCGACCGGGCCGCGGACGAGGCUCGAGAACAGCGGUUAUGGACCCGUCCGUGGCGGCUUCGGGCAACCUGAGAGUUUACGGGUUCCGGGGGUAGUAUGGUCGCAAGGCUGAAACUUGAAGGAAUUGACGGAAGGGCACCACAAGGAGUGGAGCCUGCGGCUUAAUUUGACUCAACACGGGGCAACUUACCCGGUCCGGACAUCGUCAGGAUUGACAGACGCUCGUGCAGUUCUUUCUCGAUUCGAUGGGUGGUGGUGCAUGGCCGUUCGUGGCUGGUGAAGUGAAAAGUCUGGUUUAUUCCGCUAACGGGCGAGGCCUCGCCCUUAACUAGUCGGCUCGUGGUUCUCGAAUCUUAGUCUCCCCUCGGGGAGCAGGGAGAACAUCGGGCGAGUCGAAGCGGUCGUCGCUACUUCUUAGGGGGAUCCCGAGCAAGCUUAAGCUAGGUGAGAGAGAUCAAUAACAGGUCAGUGAUGCCCUUAGAUGUCCGGGGCCGCACGCGCGCUACACUGAAGACGAAAGCGCGAGUGCCUACGGUCUUGGUUUGGUCAGGCCGGGAACCCGCCCCGAGAGGGGAGGUUGGGGCCGUUCCUUCGGGGGCGGUCUCGCCUACAACGGGUUAACCGUGCCAAUCGUCUUCGUGCUGGGGAUCGGGGCUUGUAACUCAGCCCCGUGAACGAGGAAUUCCGAGUAGGCGUCCGUCAUCAGCUGGCGCCGAUUAAGUCCCUGCCUUUUGUACACACCGCCCGUCGCUACCUCCGAUAGAAUGGCUAAGCGAGGCCGUUGGACUGGGCCCGUCUUCGGACGGGACCGGAAAGGCGUUCGAGCUUAAUCAUUUAGAGGAAGUAAAAGUCGUAACAAGGUUUCCGUAGGUGAACCUGCGGAAGGAUCAUUAA
RNAcentral lists this ribosomal RNA (2094 nucleotides) under Helcion dunkeri. Its description in RNAcentral is "bacterial SSU rRNA". It matches the Rfam family "Eukaryotic small subunit ribosomal RNA". The record is from RNAcentral. Lineage: Eukaryota; Metazoa; Mollusca; Gastropoda; Patellidae.